This 1362-nucleotide ribosomal RNA is filed under the name Triticum aestivum (bread wheat). RNAcentral describes it as "partial small subunit ribosomal RNA". Lineage: Eukaryota; Viridiplantae; Streptophyta; Magnoliopsida; Poales; Poaceae. The record is from RNAcentral.
AUGCGGUCGCCGCGACUCCGCCGCCAGCCGGCACUGGCGCCGUCGCGGGCUUCGGAUCCGGCGGAGCCCACGGAGGUCUUCCCCGUCGGCAAGGCGGUGGAGGUGCUCCCGGACGAGGGAGCCUACCGCGGGGCCCACCUCCCCGCCGUCGUCGCGCGCUUCGACCCCGGCCUCCGCAGCUACGCGGUCGAGUACGACGCCCUCGCCGUCUCGGGGGCCUCCGGCCGCGCUCUCCCGGAGACCGUGCCCGCGUCGCAGGUCCGCCCGCGCCCGCCGCCACCGUCGCCGGCGCCCCACGCGGAGCACGCGGCCGUGGACGCGCUCCGAGACGGCGCGUGGUGGCUCGGCGUCGCCCUCGUCGGCGGGGGCCGGGCGGACGGGAAGGUCGCGGUUCGCUUCCCGGCGACGAGGGAGGAGGCGGAGUUCGACUUGGCCGAUGUCCGGCCCCACCUCGAGUGGGUCGCCGGCGAGUGGCGCUCCCCCGAGGACAUGGAGACAUCCAAGAGAACGCUGUAUGCUAAAGGAACACAAAUAGAAGUUGCCAGGUUGGAAGCUGAUUCUGUUGUCGCUUGGUUCCCUGCAAUUGUUGCAAAGACUAUCUGGAAAAAUAACCUCUUGGUGGAGUACCCUUUCUGGAAGGGCAGUGAACUGUGCAAUGAGAUUAUCGAUAUCAAGCAUAUCAGACCUUGCCCGCCACGUGCAUCAGUUAUUAGUUUCUGCGUCAAUGAUGAUGUUGAAGGCUUCCAAGAUGAUGGCUGGUGGCCAGGGAAGAUCACUGAGAUCCAUCCCAAGUUAACGUAUACAUUUAAGUCAGCAACUUCAGGAAAGAAGGUUCAGUUACACCAGAACACACUGAGGCUUCGAUAUGACUGGAUUGAUAACCAAUGGAAGCAGGUUGCACAGAAUCUGUCAGGAACAAAAUUCACAGGAGGCGACAGGGUUGAAGUGAGCAGCGACGAGGAAGGUUUCCACGGAGCAUGGUUCCAGGGGACGGUCGUCAAAUCCGUGGGACACAAGUUCCUUGUGGAGUACGAUGCGCUGAAGGACGAUGACGAGACCACGCCUCUGAAAGAAACCAUAGGGGAGGAGCACAUCAGGCCCUCUCCUCCGGCUAUUCCUGUCACCAAUGGUUUCAAGGUCCUUGACGAGAUCGACGCCUACACCAACGAUGGGUGGUGGGUCGGCGUGAUAUCCGAGGUCCUCAGCAACCAGAAGUACAAGGUUUACUUCAAGGCGUACAAGGAGCAGGAUGAGUUUGAGCUCGAACAGCUGAGGCGUCACUGCGAUUGGGUGGGGGGCAUUGCAGAUGUGACGGCUGAAGGGACGCACGACAUUUUUUGUACAGGAGCCUGGGAUAAUUAG